UACGUAGGGGGCAAGCGUUGUCCGGAAUCAUUGGGCGUAAAGCGCGUGUAGGCGGCUCGGUAAGUCUGCUGUGAAAGUCCAGGACUCAACCCUGGGAUGCCGGUGGAUACUGUCGAGCUCGAGUCCGGAAGAGGCGAGUGGAAUUCCUGGUGUAGCGGUGAAAUGCGCAGAUAUCAGGAGGAACACCAAUGGCGAAGGCAGCUCGCUGGGACGGUACUGACGCUGAGGCGCGAAAGCGUGGAGAGCAAACAGG
RNAcentral lists this ribosomal RNA (253 nucleotides) under uncultured bacterium. RNAcentral's name for it is "partial 16S ribosomal RNA". It matches the Rfam family "Bacterial small subunit ribosomal RNA", at positions 524 to 776 of the family's 1533-position model. The record is from RNAcentral.